This 253-nucleotide ribosomal RNA is filed under the name uncultured bacterium. RNAcentral describes it as "partial 16S ribosomal RNA". It matches the Rfam family "Bacterial small subunit ribosomal RNA", at positions 524 to 776 of the family's 1533-position model. The record is from RNAcentral.
UACGUAGGGAGCAAGCGUUGUCCGGAAUCAUUGGGCGUAAAGCGCGCGUAGGUGGCUUCGUAAGUCCGUUGUGAAAGUCAAAGGCUCAACCUUUGAAAGCCGAUGGAUACUGCGGAGCUAGAGUACGGAAGAGGCGAGUGGAAUUCCUGGUGUAGCGGUGAAAUGCGCAGAUAUCAGGAAGAACACCAAUGGCGAAGGCAGCUCACUGGGACGUUACUGACGCUGAGACGCGAAAGCGUGGGGAGCAAACAGG